GGGAAUGUGGCUUAGUGGUAGAGUGCUUACCUACCAUGCAAGAAGCCCUGGGUUCAAUUCCUCAGUACCA
Dipodomys ordii (Ord's kangaroo rat) is the source of this 70-nucleotide non-coding RNA. Lineage: Eukaryota; Metazoa; Chordata; Mammalia; Rodentia; Heteromyidae. The record is from Rfam.